RNAcentral lists this unclassified non-coding RNA (229 nucleotides) under plant metagenome. RNAcentral describes it as "partial contains small subunit ribosomal RNA, internal transcribed spacer 1, and 5.8S ribosomal RNA". The record is from RNAcentral.
UCUCCGUAGGUGAACCUGCGGAGGGAUCAUUACAGAGUUCAUGCCCUACCGGGUCGAUCUCCCACCCUAUGUUAUUAUUACUUUGUUGCUUUGGCGGGCCGUUAGGCUCCGGCCCGACUACCGGCCCCGGCUGGUAAGCGCCCGCCAGAGGACCCAAAACCCUGAAUAUUAGUGUCGUCUGAGUACUAUAUAAUAGUUAAAACUUUCAACAACGGAUCUCUUGGUUCUG